AUUGAACGCUGGCGGCAGGCCUAACACAUGCAAGUCGAACGGUAGCACAGAGGAGCUUGCUCCUUGGGUGACGAGUGGCGGACGGGUGAGUAAUGUCUGGGAAACUGCCCGAUGGAGGGGGAUAACUACUGGAAACGGUAGCUAAUACCGCAUAACGUCGCAAGACCAAAGAGGGGGACCUUCGGGCCUCUUGCCAUCGGAUGUGCCCAGAUGGGAUUAGCUAGUAGGUGGGGUAACGGCUCACCUAGGCGACGAUCCCUAGCUGGUCUGAGAGGAUGACCAGCCACACUGGAACUGAGACACGGUCCAGACUCCUACGGGAGGCAGCAGUGGGGAAUAUUGCACAAUGGGCGCAAGCCUGAUGCAGCCAUGCCGCGUGUAUGAAGAAGGCCUUCGGGUUGUAAAGUACUUUCAGCGAGGAGGAAGGUGCUGUGGUUAAUAACCGCAGCAAUUGACGUUACUCGCAGAAGAAGCACCGGCUAACUCCGUGCCAGCAGCCGCGGUAAUACGGAGGGUGCAAGCGUUAAUCGGAAUUACUGGGCGUAAAGCGCACGCAGGCGGUCUGUCAAGUCGGAUGUGAAAUCCCCGGGCUCAACCUGGGAACUGCAUCCGAAACUGGCAGGCUAGAG
This 629-nucleotide ribosomal RNA is filed under the name uncultured bacterium. RNAcentral's name for it is "bacterial SSU rRNA". It matches the Rfam family "Bacterial small subunit ribosomal RNA", at positions 28 to 646 of the family's 1533-position model. The record is from RNAcentral.